This 1563-nucleotide long non-coding RNA is filed under the name Vulpes vulpes (red fox). RNAcentral's name for it is "lncRNA (ENSVVUG00000013202.1)". Lineage: Eukaryota; Metazoa; Chordata; Mammalia; Carnivora; Canidae. The record is from RNAcentral.
GGAAAAGCAAGAUAAGGGUAGGCUAAACAGAUGUAGCCUUGACUUGUCUGAGUAAUUUCAGUAGGCUCUGGAGCACAGGGGCUGCCACUUGUUUUCUGAGACCUGGUUUUGGGAUGAGCAGGACAGAGGAAUAUUACCUCCAGGAGUGUAAGAGCCAUAUAGAGGAGGUGGUUGGGAGUGUGGGCUCCGGAUCUGUGAGCCAUGUACAGGAAAGGUGUACCCCUGGCAAGUCCUUUGCUGUCUCAGGGAAUUAGCUAGCCCUGCGAGGAUUAUCUUCUCCCUGGUCAGUGAGUCUCCAGAUGCAUCAAAAAAAUACAGAAAAUAAGGAAUAUAGUUAACAUACCAACAUUCCUACUUCUUUUUUUCUUUUUCUUUUCUUUCUUUCUUUCUUUUUUUUUUUUUUUUUUUUUAGAGAGAGAGAGAAAGAGAGAGAGGGCAUGAGUAGGGGAAGGGGCAGAGACAGAGACAGAAAGAAAUUUCAAGCAGACUCUGCUGAGCACAGAGCCCGACACAGGGCUCAAUCACAACCCAAGCUGAAAUCAAGAGUGGGAAGCUCGGCCAACUGAGCCAUCCAACUGCCCCCGCCCCAAGUUUCUCCUUCUGACUCCUCCCUCAUAGCCCCCCACUGCCUCAGACCUCAUACCUCAUUCCAGCAUCUUCCUUUCUUGAUCUGAAGCAAACUUCUGCUUCUGACACCUGCUCCAGCUGAUAUUCUCUGGCAGGUGGGGAUCCUGGGUUUCCUUCUUGACUGCCCCUGUGCAUCAGCACCAAGAGAAUGGGGCCAGAGAGUGGUGAGAGGGAGAGAUGCCUCAGGAAGCCUCCCCUGGAAGGAAGAACUGAUCCUGCCUCAAAGCCCCCCCUCACCACCCAGGCCAGAGACAAAACACAUACCGUAGAAGAGGCAUCCAGAAUGGAAACAACUGUCCAAGCCACCGCAGGAAGCUUACACCCCACGUUCCCAGGCAGAAGUGUGGAUGUUUCCAAACCUAACAGUCUUGGUCCUGAAGUCUCCGGGCUGAUGGAAUGGCUCCUGGUCUACCUUGUGCACUCGUGGAGCACUCACAUCAUACAGCCCCUUAGAGCUCACGAGGCACUUGGACCAGUGGUUACUCUCGUGUGAUCAUCACGUGCCCCACAUGAGAUGGGUCAUUUGAACUAUUCUAGGAGCGCCUGAGUGGCUCAGUCAGUUACGUGUCUGCCUUCGGCUGGGGUCCUGUUCCAGAAGCCUGGCAUUUAGGCCAAUGUGGGGCUUUCCCCUCAGUGGGGAGUCUGCUUCUCCCUCUCCCUCUGCCCCCUGCCUUGCUCGUGCUUUCUCUCUCGACUAUGGAAAAAAAAAAAAUCUUUUAAAAAAGAUAAUUAUUCUAAAGAUGGAGAAAGUGAGGCACCAGAAGCAGGAUGCAAGAAAAACCAGAGUGGAAGGCUUGAAUCCAGGUCUACUGACGUGAGCAUGCUUACUGUUUGGCAUGCUAGCCUGCCCCAGAGACUAGGAGUUACUCUGGGCAAAGGGUUCCAUCCUCUCUGGGUGUAGCCUCAUCCGUGAGCUCGGGGCUUCACCUGGUGUCU